Long non-coding RNA from Sorex fumeus (smoky shrew), 391 nucleotides. RefSeq lists it as uncharacterized. The record is from RefSeq and is a predicted model, not a curated record. The transcript has 3 exons. NCBI's taxonomy places the organism in Eukaryota, Metazoa, Chordata, Mammalia, Eulipotyphla, Soricidae.
UUGGACCCGGAGAGACCGAGUUUCUGCUACGCUGGUGGAGACACCCGCCCAGCCCUCGUUGUAGAGGCUGUAGGUGUAAACUCCAGAAGAAAAGCGGACUUAGAAAGAGAAUUGAGCUCCCAUGUCCUUUCCCCAGACGGAAGAAACAGUUUGGUACUGGAACGGCGCCUUCUGUUGUAUUUUCUUCCUCCCAUUUUUCAGUCUUUAACAUUCUGAUUCUCUUUGUGAUCUCUAACAGCAUUAUCCAUCUUCGAAUUAUACAGCCACUGAUUUCUUCCAGAAGAUGAAGGAAGAUGAAGGAAGGAAAAAAAAUCCUACAUAUAUACCUCUGAGCUGGGAUGAAAAUAUUUUGAAUUUUAGGGUUUUUUUUUUAAUAAAUUCAUGUUUUAAU